This 498-nucleotide ribosomal RNA is filed under the name uncultured bacterium. RNAcentral describes it as "partial 16S ribosomal RNA". It matches the Rfam family "Bacterial small subunit ribosomal RNA", at positions 30 to 523 of the family's 1533-position model. The record is from RNAcentral.
AUUGAACGCUGGCGGCAUGCCUUACACAUGCAAGUCGAACGGUAACAGGUCUUCGGAUGCUGACGAGUGGCGAACGGGUGAGUAAUACAUCGGAACGUGCCUAGUAGUGGGGGAUAACUACUCGAAAGAGUGGCUAAUACCGCAUGCGAUCUACGGAUGAAAGCAGGGGAUCACAAGACCUUGUGCUACUAGAGCGGCCGAUGGCAGAUUAGGUAGGUGGUGGGGUAAAAGCUGACCAAGCCGAAGAUCGGUAGCUGGUCUGAGAGGACGAUCAGCCACACUGGGACUGAGACACGGCCCAGACUCCUACGGGAGGCAGCAGUGGGGAAUUUUGGACAAUGGGCGCAAGCCUGAUCCAGCAAUGCCGCGUGCAGGAUGAAGGCCUUCGGGUUGUAAACUGCUUUUGUACGGAACGAAAAGCCCUGGGUUAAUACCCUGGGGUCAUGACGGUACCGUAAGAAUAAGCACCGGCUAACUACGUGCCAGCCGCCGCAGUAA